UACAGAAUGAGUGAUGUUGUCUGUGGUUUUAGGAGGGGGGAAAAUUACCUUCCAAGCGCCAAACAAGGUUUGAGGUGACGAGACCUCUCUGUGAUGUGGCUGCUAAAUGAAACCCUUUUGCUUUGGUAGAUUGUGGUUAGAAAUAGUUUAAAGAACAAAUGGCUAGAGCUAGGGGAAGAAAUAUUUCCAAAAACUGCGCACAAUGAGGUGAUGCUUAGAGGGAAAAGAUUCAUAUGAAUAUUGAAUGUUAUCAGAAAUAAUAUUUCAAAAAACUUAAUCCUUCAACUCAUCGGGUUUUUUUUUUUCUAGUUCUCAACAUUCCAUCAUGGAGAAGGAUCCCCACCCUACUUCAAAAGCCUUUUUGAAGGUCAGAAUGCAUUCUGUGAGUGGCAGCUCAUGUCACAUACCUCUGGAAAUCAGUUCUCUAAUACACAACUGUUUUGUAAUUUCAUCUAUUUUCUGCAUGUGGUUUGAUCACUUCCAGGCUGGUAUCCAGGGGGAGACUUGAGAACCAUCUCAGAGACAGAAGUGGACUUUUUAGCAGCUUGCUUAUUCCCAGGCUGAAGUCAAGAGUUCAUGGCACGAAUUAAGGAAGAAUUAAAAUGCUUAUGUAUCAACUAAUGCUGAUGAAAUUCAGUCUGAGGCUUCAAGAGUUAAUAUCCCAUCAUGUUCUUGAUGUUAUCCCAUUGCAUUAAUAUGGUUUGCUCGUUGAGUUCCUGAGGGUGGGGAAUGAGAGGAACUUGUGAGUGGCCUCUGGUUUUACCAGUGUACAAGGGAGGAAGUCUGGAGUGGCUGAAAUUCCCCCUUGCACACAGAUCCAGGUGAGUGGUGAGCAGGCUUCUUUCAAAAGCAGAACCUGUGGCACAUGGGCAUUGACUGAAAGGGAACAAACCAGACAGAGAAACUUCACUUUUCCAAGACAUUAGUAACUAACUGCAAAGCAAGAAAGCAUUUUGCAGAAUGAGAGUAGCCAGGCCCCAUCCCCUACAUCCUGCCCUGUUCAUCUCUGCCACUGCCAGAACCUGAGUAUGAAGGGCAUUUGUUCAGCGCAGCCAAAUGCAAGCAGAACAGUGGGAUAAAGAGGGGUAGAAAAUCAAGUGAGCAGAGCUAACACAAAAUGGAGACAAGGUAUUUCAGCACCUGACUCUUUGAGCAAGAGUCUAUAAAUCUUGUUCUCACUGUUAAAGGCACUCAAGACCGGAGGGAAGUCAUCAUGAGGGACAUGUAAUACUUUAUCCUUUUCCCCACUCACUUUCUCCAUGAAGGAAUUAUGAAGAGAAGAGUUCACAAGAAACAAAUAAGAGGACAAAGUAUCUUUCACUGAAUUUACUCUCGUGCAAAGCCAAUGACGCAAGUCUCCUGGGCAUAAAUUCAGUGUUUUGUAUAAACCUAAGGCUGUGUAUUUGAUACUUCAUACUGUUUUUUUCCAACCUGCUAAGUAUUGCCACGUAAUUUCCACACAGGACUAUUAUUAACACAAGUCUGUGCCACUGCUGUGGCCUCACAGA
This 1508-nucleotide long non-coding RNA is filed under the name Parus major (Great Tit). RNAcentral's name for it is "lncRNA (ENSPMJG00000000945.1)". Lineage: Eukaryota; Metazoa; Chordata; Aves; Passeriformes; Paridae. The record is from RNAcentral.